UUGAAAAAUAUGGGCCUUUCUUACAACCAGCUCAGUGGUCCGCUACCUCAGGAAAUUGGGAACCUGAAGAAUCUAAUGGAGUUGGACUUGGGCACUAAUAGCCUAAUUGGGCCUAUUCCUUCAACUCUUGGUCGCUUAACCAAUUUGAAUUAUAUGAGCCUCUCUCGCAACAUGUUCGGUGGUCUACUACCUCAGGAAAUUGGGAACCUGAAGAAUUUGAUCGAGUUGAAUGUGGGCAGUAACAGCCUAAUUGGGCCGAUUCCUUCAACUCUAGGUCUUUUGACCGAUUUGAGCUAUUUGGAUCUUAGUUGUAACCAAUUCAGCAGCUCAAUUCCAAAUGAUACAACCAAACUUC
RNAcentral lists this long non-coding RNA (355 nucleotides) under Citrus x clementina. RNAcentral's name for it is "Citrus clementina (C. clementina) long non-coding RNA (CCLE_LNC005241)". Lineage: Eukaryota; Viridiplantae; Streptophyta; Magnoliopsida; Sapindales; Rutaceae. The record is from RNAcentral.